AUCUAUCUAUGUUACUCUGGGGAGGAUCCAACCUUAGUUUUGGCAACCUUGUUUGCAUGAUGGGGUCCAAAUGCUGCCGAGCACAAAGCACGCCACGCGCGGCGCGGCGUUGCUGUAACUUGGCGAGGAACUGUUGUAUUGAGGAUCGAUCACGGUACGUGGUAUCGAUCCAAUAGUCAGAGCAGAAUGCCGUGUUUGGCAGAUUGAGGUUGGUGGUGGGUGUGGAAGAGGAGGGGACCGUCGACAGCGCUGCUGUUGUCACGCAGUAGCAGGGAACCUUCUGAGACAGAUCGUUGGUUUCUACCACUAGAGGAUUGUAGAGCUCUCAUGAGGACCCGCUUAGGGGGCUGAUUUGGCGAUCUGGAUGGAUCGUGGUGGAGUUCGAUUUGGGCAUGGGGAGCGAGCAGUGAGGGAGGGAUCGUGGUGUGGAUCGAUCUAGCCCCGAUCUGGCUUUGGUCGUCAAUGAGCCACGCCCAUGCCGAGGUGCAGGUCGGGGCUCACCAUGGGAGCAUCCAUGCCGGCGCCGCGACGUGCAAACAGCGAAGCCGCAAAGCUUGCUGGGAAGCGAGCAGACCAUAUGUUUCCCUCAACCUGAAGAUAUGAUCUAUGCUGCUACUUCUGGUUUGUGUGUUACUUCCGCUGGAUGAUACUCUGUCAUAUGUUGUCGUUGUUUCCUCCCAGUGAAGCCCUCCCAACCGUCAUCUCCUUCCCUUCUCUUGCUGCUCGAUGAAAUUGCUCCUGCUGCUACCUUUGCAUGGUAACGGAGUUCUGUGAAUUUACUCCAGCGGUGAGGAUCCAAUUUCAGUGAAAUCAUGCUACUAUAACUUCAGCGCACGAGGAAGACGAGGGAAUAGUCCUUCGUUGGAGCGGUAUUUUUUUCCAAAGAUGGUGUUGGCAUGGAUCAGCACCAGUAAUACCUUAAAUCUUCUAAACUUGGCUCCUCUAGCCACACUUGAUGAUGGAAGUUCCAGCCAAAUGAAUUUACAAUGUAUUUGGCUUGGAGUUGAUCCCAAAAAAUGAAUUUAUUAUGUCUAUCCAAGAAAUGAAGUUUUUUCGUUCAGGUUUUAGAUCUCUUUAGUUUUAGCUUAGUUCAAGGAUAGAAAAGCUUGCUACUUAUGGAUUCAACGAGGAAGAACAUUAGCCACUUUUUCAGAGUUGGAUGGUGUGGUGCACCUUCAUCUCGUUGUCCAAUUUCUUAGCUUAUUUGCUUUCACUGUACUACAGUUAUAUAGCAGGAUAAGGAUCCAAUCUUGUGACACUUCUCCAUUUUCACCAUCGUCAAAAGUUGCACAUGAGUUGAUUCAGACUUUCAGACUUCAGAGAACACCAAGGAGAGUCAAUCGGCCUGAAGGUAUAUAUCAGAUCCUAAGGAAAGGGACCCGAGUUCAAAUUUGUCACUACUCUGUGCUGUUAGAUAGCCAUGGUAUGUGUUAGUUUUAUUUUACCACAGAAGUUCGAUUCUUGGGAGUUAGAAUAUCAUAUGAAUACAUUACUUUUCUUGUGAAUCCAUUCUCUUUUAGUGCACUAUCUAUCUCUCUAAUCUAUCUAUCAAAGUUUUCAAACAAAUUGAUGGCAGCGGCAUUGUGGCGAAUGGCGAAGGUCCUAAAAUGGACGGGAGAGACGUGGUGACGCCCGACUGGGAGACGUACAUAUUGGAGGAAAUAUGAUUCAUAAGGUUUCAUAUUAACAAAAAAUUAUAGUCUUUAUAAAGUAAUUUGAACAUUUUGUUGACUCCAGGAUAACUUUAUUCUCCAAUAUGAAUAUUUAAGAAAAUAUAUGACAUAUAUUUGUGCAAAUUGAUAAUCUAAGCUCAUCUCGUAAACUUUAUUCUCUUUUCAAGAUUGAUUUACUUGGUGGUGCUAACUUCCAUUUUCUCAAAAUAGGACAUGCGUGCUAUUUCAGAAAAAAGUAGCUUCUCUGUUGGAUGGCACCCCUCAUGGUACUUUUAGAUAUGUAGGAAAAAAUGGCAUCUCAUAAUUCAUUGGAUGUAGACCAGUAGGGUCAACUACAAAUUGUUGCCUGUAAAUGACUUUCAGUUUCUAGCUUUCAUAAAAUAUUAGACAUGUACUCUUUAACAAUAUACCGUGGUUGAUGGUGGUCCUAUGUACUGGUUGAAAUUAUCAUCUUGGAUAAUAUUGCAUUUACUA
Molecule: long non-coding RNA, 2147 nt
Organism: Hordeum vulgare subsp. vulgare (domesticated barley)
Lineage: Eukaryota; Viridiplantae; Streptophyta; Magnoliopsida; Poales; Poaceae
Exons: 3
Source: RefSeq, a predicted model, not a curated record